This 88-nucleotide transfer RNA is filed under the name Thermoprotei archaeon. Its description in RNAcentral is "tRNA-Ser". It matches the Rfam family "tRNA". Rfam says of the family: Transfer RNA (tRNA) molecules are approximately 80 nucleotides in length. Their secondary structure includes four short double-helical elements and three loops (D, anti-codon, and T loops). The record is from RNAcentral. Lineage: Archaea; Thermoproteati; Thermoproteota; Thermoprotei.
GCCGGGGUGGCCGAGUGGUCCAAGGCGUCGGCCUUGAGAGCCGAUGGCCCUACGGGCCGCGUGGGUUCAAAUCCCACCCCCGGCGCCA